This is a long non-coding RNA of Symphalangus syndactylus (siamang), 242 nucleotides long. RefSeq lists it as uncharacterized. Lineage: Eukaryota; Metazoa; Chordata; Mammalia; Primates; Hylobatidae. The record is from RefSeq and is a predicted model, not a curated record.
UCCAAACAGUAUAGGUACAGACUAAGCUCCUUCGUGAAGAACACCAAAUCUGACAACAGAAAAUAAUAAAAUGCCUCAUAGGAGAAAGACUCUACUUUUAACAUUUCUGACAGUUCUCUGAAACUUCAACUUUGAUCAUGAAGAGAGAUGCUCCAAAAUGUAAAUCAGACACACCCAGGGGAUCAAUACUUUGUAUCCUUCAAUCCAAUCAAGUUGACACUCAAUAUUAACCAUCACGGGAG